AGUGAACGCUGGCGGUAGGCCUAACACAUGCAAGUCGAACGGCAGCACAGUAAGAGCUUGCUCUUACGGGUGGCGAGUGGCGGACGGGUGAGGAAUACAUCGGAAUCUACUUUUUCGUGGGGGAUAACGUAGGGAAACUUACGCUAAUACCGCAUACGACCUACGGGUGAAAGCAGGGGAUCUUCGGACCUUGCGCGAUUGAAUGAGCCGAUGUCGGAUUAGCUAGUUGGCGGGGUAAAGGCCAACCAAGGCGACGAUCCGUAGCUGGUCUGAGAGGAGGAUCAGCCACACUGGAACUGAGACACGGUCCAGACGCCUACGGGAGGCAGCAGUGGGGAAUAGUGGACAAUGGGCGCAAGCCUGAUCCAGCCAUACCGCGUGGGUGAAGAAGGCCUUCGGGUUGUAAAGCCCUUUUGUUGGGAAAGAAAAGCAGCAGGUUAAUACCCCGCUGUUCUGACGGUACCCAAAGAAUAAGCACCGGCUAACUUCGUG
This 492-nucleotide ribosomal RNA is filed under the name uncultured bacterium. RNAcentral's name for it is "partial 16S ribosomal RNA". It matches the Rfam family "Bacterial small subunit ribosomal RNA", at positions 29 to 507 of the family's 1533-position model. The record is from RNAcentral.